UAUCUGCUUAAAAUUGGGAUUGAGAUAACUUUGCUGGGAAAAUUAGCAGCUGUGAGUAGUAAUCUUGAUGAAUCUUUGGUCAUUUUGUGGUUGUGGGGUGUGUCAAGAUUGAAUAAUCAGCCAAUUUUUUUAGGGUUUAGGUUUAGGAUUUACCUCUCAUUGAAUUUGUCUGUAUAAAAAUUGAGUUGGACCAAGUUUUGAGCCUAAAUUAACUCAGUUUCUGUGGCCUGUUGCAGAUAUAUGCCAUUCCAGUUUUUGACAUGAUGGAAAGUGUCCUUGUGAAGAAGAUGAAGCUAAAUCCAAGUUUGGGUUUGCGUAUUAUUACAAGGAAUAGUUAUGUUGCUUUUACAAUGUUUAUUGCCAUCACAUUCCCUUUCUUUGAUGGUCUUCUUAGUUUUUUUGGAGGAUUCGGUUUCGCCCCUACCACAUACUUCCUUCCCUGUAUCUUAUGGCUCGCCAUCUGCAAACGGAAGCGGUUCAACUCCUCUUGGUUUGCGAAUUGG
Long non-coding RNA from Salvia miltiorrhiza (redroot sage), 503 nucleotides. RefSeq lists it as uncharacterized. Lineage: Eukaryota; Viridiplantae; Streptophyta; Magnoliopsida; Lamiales; Lamiaceae. The record is from RefSeq and is a predicted model, not a curated record. The transcript is spliced from 4 exons.